UACAGAGGGUGCAAGCGUUGUUCGGAAUUAUUGGGCGUAAAGCGCGUGUAGGCGGCUUUGCAAGUCGGGUGUGAAAGCCCUCAGCUCAACUGAGGAAGUGCGCCCGAAACUGCAGAGCUUGAGUGCCGGAGAGGGUGGCGGAAUUCCCCAAGUAGAGGUGAAAUUCGUAGAUAUCAAGCAGAACACCUGCGGCGAAGGCGGCCUUCUGGACGAUGACUGACGCUGAGACGCGAAAGCGUGGGGAGCAACAGG
Molecule: ribosomal RNA, 252 nt
Filed under: uncultured bacterium
Lineage: Bacteria
Description: partial 16S ribosomal RNA
Rfam family: Bacterial small subunit ribosomal RNA
Source: RNAcentral